UACGAAGGGGGCUAGCGUUGCUCGGAAUCACUGGGCGUAAAGCGCACGUAGGCGGAUCUUUAAGUCAGGGGUGAAAUCCUGGAGCUCAACUCCAGAACUGCCUUUGAUACUGGGGAUCUCGAGUCCGGGAGAGGUGAGUGGAACUGCAAGUGUAGAGGUGAAAUUCGUAGAUAUUCGCAAGAUCACCAGUGGCGAAGGCGGCUCACUGGCCCGAUACUGACGCUGAGGCACGAAAGCGUGGGGAGCAAACAGG
This 253-nucleotide ribosomal RNA is filed under the name uncultured bacterium. Its description in RNAcentral is "partial 16S ribosomal RNA". It matches the Rfam family "Bacterial small subunit ribosomal RNA", at positions 524 to 776 of the family's 1533-position model. The record is from RNAcentral.